GCGCCCGUAGCUCAGCUGGAUAGAGCACUAGCCUCCGGAGCUAGGGGUCGCAGGUUCGAAUCCUGUCGGGCGCACCA
RNAcentral lists this transfer RNA (77 nucleotides) under bacterium. Its description in RNAcentral is "tRNA-Arg". It matches the Rfam family "tRNA". From Rfam's summary of the family: Transfer RNA (tRNA) molecules are approximately 80 nucleotides in length. Their secondary structure includes four short double-helical elements and three loops (D, anti-codon, and T loops). The record is from RNAcentral. RNAcentral also lists the same sequence under 1 other name.